ACAGAAUAUAUGAUGGAAGUGUUGCAGGUGGGCUGCUCUGUCACACCUGUAUCGUAGGUAGGUGGCGGAGAGAGAAGAGGCUGUGUCUACACUCAUUGUUCCUCUAAGAACAUCUGAACGAUCACCAGCCUAACAUU
Psammomys obesus (fat sand rat) is the source of this 137-nucleotide small nucleolar RNA. RefSeq annotates it as small nucleolar RNA SNORA17. The record is from RefSeq and is a predicted model, not a curated record. The transcript has a single exon. NCBI's taxonomy places the organism in Eukaryota, Metazoa, Chordata, Mammalia, Rodentia, Muridae.